This 636-nucleotide long non-coding RNA is filed under the name Callithrix jacchus (white-tufted-ear marmoset). RNAcentral describes it as "lncRNA (ENSCJAG00000081526.1)". The record is from RNAcentral. Lineage: Eukaryota; Metazoa; Chordata; Mammalia; Primates; Cebidae.
AUGCCAUUUGCUCUUAUGUUCUUCUGGGAUGUUCACAUGGUAUUUAACAAACAACUAGGUCUAGAUCAGGUCUUGACAAACUACAGAAAACUACAAUUCUGGAGCAUGCCCCUUUUUGUUUUACAGGCACACAGCCACACCCAUUUGUCUGCUUAUUAUCUCUGGCUGCUUUUGCUCUACAAUGGCAGAGGUUUUGGGGUACAUGUGAAGAACAUGCAAGAUUGUUGCAUAGAUAUAUACAUAGCAAUGUGGUUUGCUGCCUUCCUCCCCAUCACCUAUAUCUGGCAUUUCUCCCUAUGUUAUCCCUCUCCAACUCCCCACCCCCUGCUGUCCCUCCCCUAGUUCCCCCCAAUAGACCCCAAUGUGUGAUGCUCCUCUCCCUGUGUCCAUGUGUUCUCAUUGUUCCAACACCCACCUAUGAGUGAGAACAUGCGGUGUUUGAUUUUCUGUUCUUGUGUCAGUUUGCUGAGAAUGAUGGUUUCCUGGUUCAUCCAUGUCCCUACAAAGGACACAAACUCAUCGUUUUUUAUGACUGCAUAGUAUUCCAUGGUGUAUAUGUGCCACAUUUUCCCAUCCAGUCUAUCAUCGAUGGGCAUUUGGGUUGGUUCCCAGUCUUUGCUAUUGUAAACAGUGCUG